UCGAGAAUUUUUCUCAAUGGGGGCAACCCUGAAGGAGCGACGCCGCGUGGAGGAUGAAGGUCUUCGGAUUGUAAACUCCUGUCAUUGGUGAACAAGGCCCGCGGUUAACUGCCGUUGGGUUUGAUAGUAGCCGAAGAGGAAGAGACGGCUAACUCUGUGCCAGCAGCCGCGGUAAUACAGAGGUCUCGAGCGUUGUUCGGAUUCAUUGGGCGUAAAGGGUGCGUAGGCGGCGGGGCAAGUCUGAUGUGAAAUCCCGGGGCUCAACCCUGGAACUGCAUUGGAUACUGCCUUGCUAGAGAGCUGGAGAGGAAACUGGAAUUUACGGUGUAGCAGUGAAAUGCGUAGAGAUCGUAAGGAAGACCAGUGGCGAAGGCGAGUUUCUGGACAGCUACUGACGCUGAGGCACGAAGGCCAGGGGAGCAAACGGGAUUAGAUACCCCGGUAGUCC
RNAcentral lists this ribosomal RNA (448 nucleotides) under uncultured bacterium. Its description in RNAcentral is "bacterial SSU rRNA". It matches the Rfam family "Bacterial small subunit ribosomal RNA", at positions 355 to 796 of the family's 1533-position model. The record is from RNAcentral.